GAAGGUAUAGCUCAGUGGUAGAGUGUACACUGAGCCUGCAAGGAGAUCCUGGGUUCAAUCCCCAGCAUCUCCA
Molecule: transfer RNA, 73 nt
Filed under: Camelus bactrianus (Bactrian camel)
Lineage: Eukaryota; Metazoa; Chordata; Mammalia; Artiodactyla; Camelidae
Also listed under: 2 other names
Rfam family: tRNA
About the family: Transfer RNA (tRNA) molecules are approximately 80 nucleotides in length. Their secondary structure includes four short double-helical elements and three loops (D, anti-codon, and T loops). Further hydrogen bonds mediate the characteristic L-shaped molecular structure. tRNAs have two regions of fundamental functional importance: the anti-codon, which is responsible for specific mRNA codon recognition, and the 3' end, to which the tRNAs corresponding amino acid is attached (by aminoacyl-tRNA synthetases). tRNAs cope with the degeneracy of the genetic code in two manners: having more than one tRNA (with a specific anti-codon) for a particular amino acid; and 'wobble' base-pairing, i.e. permitting non-standard base-pairing at the 3rd anti-codon position.
Source: Rfam by way of RNAcentral